UGCUUGAGCCCAGAAGUUCUGAGCUGUAACACAUUAUGCCUAUAUAGUGUCCACACUAAAUUUGGCAUCAAUAUUGUGACCUCGAGAGCAGAGGACCACCUGGUUGCCUAAGGAGGGGUGAGUUGUCCUAGGUCAGAAACAGAGCAGGUCAAAACUCUCCUACUGAUCAGUAGUGGGACUGCGCUUGUGAAUAGCCAUUGCACUCCAGCCUGGGCAAUUUAGCA
This 224-nucleotide small RNA is filed under the name Capra hircus (goat). RNAcentral's name for it is "Metazoan signal recognition particle RNA (ENSCHIG00010015139.1, ENSCHIG00040026974.1)". It matches the Rfam family "Metazoan signal recognition particle RNA", at positions 60 to 284 of the family's 299-position model. Rfam says of the family: The signal recognition particle (SRP) is a universally conserved ribonucleoprotein. It is involved in the co-translational targeting of proteins to membranes. The record is from Rfam by way of RNAcentral. Lineage: Eukaryota; Metazoa; Chordata; Mammalia; Artiodactyla; Bovidae.